GCUGAAUUGCUUUAUGAUCUGGCCACUGAAGUCUGACAACAUUACCUCCACUGCAUUCUGUUGGGUACAUGUGAGUCAGAAGCCCAUCCUCAUUUAAGGGGAGAGGAAUUACACUCCACCUCUCAAUGGGUGAAUGGCAAAAGAUAUUGAAAGCCGACUCCAGCAAACAACGCAGAUAACUCUGCAGGAUGACAGUGGAUCCGGAAUAGGAAAUGUUACAAUGGUAACAGCCAGCUGAGACCGGACCAGGGGCCCAAAGACAUUUCCAACUGGAUGGAGGAGCCCUUCUCAACUACAUCUCAGAAAUAAAUGCACAGCCUUCGAAGGGGACUUCUGUGAGAGACAAGGUGUUCUGGGCUGCAUUUUACAAAAGCACCAUGUUUUACUAUGAAACCUGUCUCGUUGCCUUGUAGCCCCAUCGUACUUUUCUUUGGUAACCAUCAAAAUAUUUCACAUUGUAUUUGGCACAUGAUAG
Macaca mulatta (Rhesus monkey) is the source of this 475-nucleotide non-coding RNA. The record is from RefSeq and is a predicted model, not a curated record. Lineage: Eukaryota; Metazoa; Chordata; Mammalia; Primates; Cercopithecidae.